RNAcentral lists this long non-coding RNA (1067 nucleotides) under Salmo salar (Atlantic salmon). Its description in RNAcentral is "lncRNA (ENSSSAG00000115862.1)". The record is from RNAcentral. Lineage: Eukaryota; Metazoa; Chordata; Actinopteri; Salmoniformes; Salmonidae.
AUACAGUUGACUGAGAGAGAGAGGCAGGUUGCAGCUACAGUUGACUGAGAGAGAGAGGCAGGUUGCAGCUACAGUUGACUGAGAGAGAGAGGCAGGUUGCAGCUACAGUUGACUGAGAGAGAGAGGCAGGUUGCAGCUACAGUUGACUGAGAGAGAGAUGCAGGUUGCAGAUACAGUUGACUGAGAGAGAGAGAGAGAGGCAGGUUGCAGCUACAGUUGACUGAGAGAGAGGCAGGUUGCAGCUACAGUUGACAGAGAGAGAGAGAGGCAGGUUGCAGCUACAGUUGACUGAGAGAGAGAGGCAGGUUGCAGCUACAGUUGACUGUGAGAGAGGCAGGUUGCAGCUACAGUUGACUGAGAGAGAGAGGCAGGUUGCAGCUACAGUUGACUGAGAGAGAGAGGCAGGUUGCAGCUACAGUUGACUGAGAGAGAGAGGCAGGUUGCAGCUACAGUUGACUGAGGGGGCAGGUUGCAGCUACAGUUGACUGAGGGAGACAGAUUGCAGCUACAGUUGACUGAGGGGGCAGGUUGCAGCUACAGUUGACUGAGAGAGAGAGGCAGGUUGCAGCAACAGUUGACUGAGAGAGAGAGGCAGGUUGCAGCUACAGUUGACUGAGAGAGAGAGGCAGGUUGCAGCUACAGUUGACUGAGAGAGAGAGACAGGUUGCAGCUACAGUUGACUGAGAGAGAGGCAGGUUGCAGCUACAGUUGACAGAGAGGCAGGUUGCAGCUACUUUUGACUGAGAGAGAGGCAGGUUGCAGCUACAGUUGACUAAGAGAGAGAGGCAGGUUGCAGCUACAGUUGACUGAGAGAGAGGCAGGUUUCAGCUACAGUUGACUGAGAGAGAGGCAGGUUGCAGCUACAGUUGACUGAGAGAGAGAGACAGGUUGCAGCUACAGUUGACUGAGAGACAGAGGCAGGUUGCAGCUACAGUUGACUGAGAGAGAGAGGCAGGUUGCAGCUACAGUUGACUGAGAGAGAGAGGCAGGUUGCAGAUACAGUUGACUGAGAGAGAGAGAGAGAGAGGCAGGUUGCAGCUACAGUUGACUGAGAGAGAGAGAGGCAG